Long non-coding RNA from Podarcis raffonei (Aeolian wall lizard), 716 nucleotides. RefSeq lists it as uncharacterized. Lineage: Eukaryota; Metazoa; Chordata; Lepidosauria; Squamata; Lacertidae. The transcript has 2 exons. The record is from RefSeq and is a predicted model, not a curated record.
CCAGUGUAGGCAGGGUUUGUUGCUGUAAGUUGGACAGGACAAAUCAAGAACCAUAUCCAUGCCAACGUGUGAUCAUUGCUUAACAGGGUAUGAAUACUGUAGCUCUUUGGACGGAAAUCCUGCUCAAGCUGAACUUCCACUCAGCUGGAGAAGAAUUCUGGACACACCAUGCAACUUUCAGAAACAGUCAGCAAAUCAAGCCACACUGUACAGAGCAGCUUAUAUCCCUUUGGAGAUUGGAGAAAGAAGGAUCCAAAACAUAUUGUCUACAAAAGAAAUAUGAUCUGUGAGAGAAAGCUUACCCCUCACCCUAGAAAUGCACAUUGCCCCUUCUGUGCCACUGUGCCCAUGUGCCAGGAGGCAAUCCUGAGCAAGAUGCCCUUCAGGAAUGCAUGUCCACCAUUACUGAUUGGCUCAUUGAUGUACCCCUUCGUGUCCGAGGAAACCCAGGAUUUCCUUGAACAGAAUUUGGUUUAUUACAUGGUUCCCAUUCUUUUUCCUUCAUUAAUACUGAUGCAUAUGGGAUUACGCUUCCAGUCAUACAGGGUUCAUUCUAGAAGGAUGCUUUGGUCUGGUGCCAUGGAUAUGUGUCAAAGCUAUUCUGCCUUCCCAAGUCUACACCUGUGUGCUUUGUGGGUUAUGUUUUUCUUUAUGCUCACUUUACUUUUUUGUAUUUGAAAUUUCCCAACAAAAAGAAAUUAGAAGUAAAAACACAA